This 154-nucleotide transfer RNA is filed under the name Amborella trichopoda. It matches the Rfam family "tRNA". Rfam says of the family: Transfer RNA (tRNA) molecules are approximately 80 nucleotides in length. Their secondary structure includes four short double-helical elements and three loops (D, anti-codon, and T loops). Lineage: Eukaryota; Viridiplantae; Streptophyta; Magnoliopsida; Amborellales; Amborellaceae. The record is from Rfam by way of RNAcentral.
GGGCUUAUAGUUUAAUUGGUUGAAACGUACCGAAUUUACCGGCCGGAAUCAGCAAGAAAGCCGCUGCUAUUAAGGAGUGAAUAAAUAAUAUCGCUAGCGCGCUCUCUCUUUGCUGCUUACGGUGAUAUUGUAGGUUCGAGCCCUACUAAGCCUA